RNAcentral lists this ribosomal RNA (372 nucleotides) under uncultured organism. RNAcentral's name for it is "bacterial SSU rRNA". It matches the Rfam family "Bacterial small subunit ribosomal RNA", at positions 526 to 897 of the family's 1533-position model. The record is from RNAcentral.
CGUAGGGGCCAAGCGUUGUUCGGAUUUACUGGGCGUAAAGGGCACGUAGGCGGCGAAUCAAGUCAGCUGUGAAAUCUCCGAGCUUAACUCGGAACGGUCAGCUGAUACUGUUUUGCUAGAGUGCAGAAAGGGCAACCGGAAUUCUUGGUGUAGCGGUGAAAUGCGUAGAUAUCAAGAGGAACACCUGAGGCGAAGGCGGGUUGCUAGGCUGACACUGACGCUGAAGCGCGAAAGCUAGGGUAGCAAACGGGAUUAGAUACCCCGGUAGUCCUAGCCCUAAACGAUGUAUGCUUGGUGUCUGGAGUUUUUAUCUCUGGGUGCCGUCGCUAACGCUUUUAGCAUACCGCCUGGGGAGUACGCACGCAAGUGUAG